This 861-nucleotide unclassified non-coding RNA is filed under the name Hevea brasiliensis (rubber tree). The record is from RNAcentral. Lineage: Eukaryota; Viridiplantae; Streptophyta; Magnoliopsida; Malpighiales; Euphorbiaceae.
AAACUAAGUUCAUUGUUAGAAAUAAAAAUCAAAAUUAUUGAAAACAUAAAAUUUUACUACAAACAACACAUAUAUUAAACUAAAAUUAAUGAAACAAAAAUGUGUAUGAUUUUAUGAGCAUAGGUUUAUAUAAACCUUAGUCCUUAACAUACUUUGUUGCCAACAGUUUGGUAGAGAGACCUUAGCUGUGUGUUCCAUUUAUCAAUGGCAGUGUACUUCUUCAUCCCUUUUGAUCUGUCGCGACACUCUAGCAGUCCGUUCACUUGAUCAAUGUGGCCAUCAAUCCGGUUAUCCAAGAUUAGUGAGACCAACAAGUCCUCAACAUCUUUUUCUGGCACAUUCAGCUCCUUGGAUAUGAAGGGAAUUCGGAUUCUUGUGUAAGGCUUGAUGAGCUUCAGUAAAACCUGGGUUCUGACCUUCCUUAAAAGAUCCUCAAUGUAAUUCCGAAUGAAAGGGUCAUCCAUUAUUGUCCGUCUAUUACUCUUAAUAAUUUUCUCGAACUCUAAGAUCUCAUUUCGUUGAUAUGCUGCGAUAAGGUUUGUCAUGGCCAAGAUCUCAGGGUCAUUUUUGUAAGGUUUAGCUUCUUGGCCAUCAAAAGGGUUAACCUCAGACUCCAUCAGCAUAUUUGCCAGGACCAAGUACUUGAGGCACUGAAUACGCCUAUGAUUCCCAGCUUCAUCAUAGUUCUUGAAAGCUUCAAAGAAGUCUGUAGCUGCCUCUGCCCACUUUCUCUCUGCCAUAUGCAUUUUGCCUCCGCAUUCACGAAUGAUUCCCAUUAUUCUUGGAUGAGGAAUUGCCGACUUGACUGAAAGUGCUUUGUUGUACAGUUCCUUCAGUUUUUUGUUGUUUUUUGUCUCUGUA